GCCAGCAUGGCAUAAUGGUUUGAGCAUUCGACUACAACUCUGGAGACCGGGGUUCAAUUCCUAUUUCAGCCA
This is a non-coding RNA of Phrynosoma platyrhinos (Desert horned lizard), 72 nucleotides long. Lineage: Eukaryota; Metazoa; Chordata; Lepidosauria; Squamata; Phrynosomatidae. The record is from the annotation of a GenBank genome assembly.